UACAGAGGGGGCAAGCGUUGUUCGGAAUUACUGGGCGUAAAGGGCGCGUAGGCGGCCUGCUAAGUCGAACGUGAAAUCCCUGGGCUUAACCCAGGAACUGCGUCCGAUACUGGUUGGCUUGAAUCCGGGAGAGGGAUGUGGAAUUCCAGGUGUAGCGGUGAAAUGCGUAGAUAUCUGGAGGAACACCGGUGGCGAAGGCGACAUCCUGGACCGGUAUUGACGCUGAGGCGCGAAAGCCAGGGGAGCAAACGGG
This 253-nucleotide ribosomal RNA is filed under the name uncultured bacterium. RNAcentral's name for it is "partial 16S ribosomal RNA". It matches the Rfam family "Bacterial small subunit ribosomal RNA", at positions 524 to 776 of the family's 1533-position model. The record is from RNAcentral.